GAUGAACGCUGACAGAAUGCUUAACACAUGCAAGUCAACUUGAAUUUGGGUUUUUUAACUUAGAUUUGGGUGGCGGACAGGUGAGUAACGCGUAAAGAACUUGCCUCACAGCUAGGGACAACAUUUGGAAACGAAUGCUAAUACCUGAUAUUAUGAUUAUAAGGCAUCUUAGAAUUAUGAAAGCUAUAUGCGCUGUGAGAGAGCUUUGCGUCCCAUUAGCUAGUUGGAGAGGUAACGGCUCACCAAGGCGAUGAUGGGUAGCCGGCCUGAGAGGGUGAACGGCCACAAGGGGACGGAGACACGGCCCUUACUCCUACGGGAGGCAGCAGUGGGGAAUAUUGGACAAUGGACCAAGAGUCUGAUCCAGCAAUUCUGUGUGCACGAUGACGUUUUUCGGAAUGUAAAGUGCUUUCAGUUGGGAAGAAAAAAAUGACGGUACCAACAGAAGAAGUGACGGCUAAAUACGUG
Molecule: ribosomal RNA, 468 nt
Filed under: uncultured bacterium
Lineage: Bacteria
Description: partial 16S ribosomal RNA
Rfam family: Bacterial small subunit ribosomal RNA
Source: RNAcentral